GCCGGGGUGGCGAAAUGGCAGACGCACUAGGUUCAGGGCCUAGCGGAGGCAACUCCAUGCGGGUUCGACUCCCGCUCCCGGCA
Molecule: transfer RNA, 83 nt
Filed under: Candidatus Wildermuthbacteria bacterium GWA2_46_15
Lineage: Bacteria; Candidatus Wildermuthiibacteriota
Description: tRNA-Leu
Rfam family: tRNA
About the family: Transfer RNA (tRNA) molecules are approximately 80 nucleotides in length. Their secondary structure includes four short double-helical elements and three loops (D, anti-codon, and T loops).
Source: RNAcentral